Molecule: long non-coding RNA, 1000 nt
Filed under: Canis lupus familiaris (dog)
Lineage: Eukaryota; Metazoa; Chordata; Mammalia; Carnivora; Canidae
Description: lncRNA (ENSCAFG00040004081.1)
Source: RNAcentral
UUCCUUUUUCAAUGAAAAUAUUCCUUGGCUAUUUUUUGAAAAAACAUAUUUAUCUAAUAAAAAAUAAAUUUAUUAUUAAAAAAAAUAAAAUAAAAAAUAAAAAACAUAUAUAUACUUUCAAGUAGAAUUUGCAUUCAGUCUAACAAAACAUGAACAAAGCUUUGAAGGAAUUUUUUUUUUUUUGGAGUUGCAUUUGGUUGAAAGAUUAGAUGGGAGAAGACUGACAUGUUGACGGUGCAGAGCCUUCCUGCCCGAGAACCAGUGCAUCUGCUUCCGUUAUUCGUUUGAACUGUUUUAUGUCCACCCGUCAUUUCCUGUAAUAUUCUUCAUAUGGGCAUUACACGCCUAGAAAAGAGUAAUGUCAUCAAGAGCCUUAAAACUGUUUUCUUAGUAAUUCCACCUCUAGUGGCCUAAACAACGUGAACACGAGUUUGUGCGUAAAAGAUUUCAGCUACAACGUUGAACCUGGAACGGUCCAAACGUUAGAAACACUUAAAAUGAACAGUUACAGGGGGUUGGGGGGUGGGGGCAGGAGGGUGGUGGAUAAAUAACUUCCGAGACAGCCACAAGCUGAACUAUUAGGCAGCCCUUAAAAAGAUACUCCUGGAAAUCAGCUCAGCUUGAACGCCGCGUGGAAAAUCGCGAGUGAACGUGUUGCACGGACAGUUUUAUCUUUUUUUUUUUUUUUUCCUUUUUUUGGCAGGCAUAGCUCUGUACGCCUGGUAGAGAGCGCAGAGGAUGAGCCCGGAAAGAUGCAGCUCAGAGGAUGAGCCCGGAAAGAUGCGUUCGAUUGUAGGAUACGGACCACACACCCGUCUCCACAUUGCCUGGACAGGAGCGUUGGCUUCAGAUCCCUUGCACUUUCUACUCCCAGAGAUGAGACCUUAAGUGUCCAGCUCCACGGACCCCAUGCUUGGCCUCUGCUCUGACCGUGCUAUGUUGCGCCAGGAAGGACAGGGCACUGGGGCAUCCGCGGGUUCUUUGUUCCCAGCUUGGCUGG